UCCAAGUGAAGGCUAAUAGCUAGCUGUUCUGUUUACCAGCAGGGAGGAGCUCAGGGUUGGUGCCAGGCCCUGACUCAUCUCCAUUUGGACUCCCUUGGAUCUUAGCACAUGGCGACCCCAGAGUCAGAGCACAGGACAGCUCAAGCAGACUCACCGGGAGUUGCCUGCAAGAUCAGAGUUUACUGUGACACUCCCUCGAUGGUAGCAGCAACCCAGUGUUCUGACAGGUAGAUCCAUCACCCUCAGGGGAUUCCAGUGGCAAGAGAAAGGGAAGGAGGAGAGGUGAGUAA
RNAcentral lists this long non-coding RNA (290 nucleotides) under Marmota monax (woodchuck). The record is from RNAcentral. Lineage: Eukaryota; Metazoa; Chordata; Mammalia; Rodentia; Sciuridae.